This 332-nucleotide ribosomal RNA is filed under the name uncultured Syntrophus sp. RNAcentral describes it as "bacterial SSU rRNA". It matches the Rfam family "Bacterial small subunit ribosomal RNA", at positions 568 to 898 of the family's 1533-position model. Lineage: Bacteria; Pseudomonadati; Thermodesulfobacteriota; Syntrophia; Syntrophales; Syntrophaceae. The record is from RNAcentral.
CGUGUAGGCGGUUCGGUAAGUGAGAUGUGAAAUCCCUCGGCUCACCCGAGGACCUGCAUCUCAAACUGCCGGACUAGAGUAUGGGAGAGGAUGAGGGAAUUCCUGGUGUAGCGGUGAAAUGCGUAGAUAUCAGGAGGAACACCGGUGGCGAAAGCGCUCAUCUGGCCCAAUACUGACGCUGAGGCGCGAAAGCUAGGGGAGCAAACGGGAUUAGAUACCCCGGUAGUCCUAGCCGUAAACGGUGAUCACUAGGUGUUGGAGGCAUCGACCCCUCCAGUGCCGCAGCUAACGCAUUAAGUGAUCCGCCUGGGGAGUACGGCCGCAAGGUUGAA